AUGUCGGCCAUCUCCAAAGGCAAGGAUCAGAACACAGGACCUGCUGGAUACCGGAGGAGGCUUAUGAGAGACAGAGGAAGCUGCCCCAGGGACCGGGGACUGAGAGACCAAGGGACCAAGGGACCAGAGAGCCCAGAGACCAGCCCAUCUUUGGCUUUGCCGAAUGACUUUGGACAGCCUCUCUACCUUCCUGGGCUUCCAUUUCUCCAUCCACAAAACGUGUCAUCUACUGAGUACCUCCUCCAGGCCGGUCAGAGAGCUGGCGCCUUCUCCUCUGCCCUUCUGCUAUGAAGAUUGAAGGAGGUACAGUGUGUGACUGAACCCUGGACACAUAGGCCACAGAUGGUCUCGUUCACUUGGCAGCCCUCACCACACUUCAGUCACAGCUUCCUUCCCAUGCUUCAUUAGCCAAGUUAGUGGUGGUGGGGGGUGCAUCAGGGAUACCUGAGAACUCGUUAAAAUGCAGAUUGCCUAGCCCCGGCCCCAGAGGUUCUGAUUCAGUGGGUCAAGGCUGGUCCUGGGACUCUGCAGUUUUUACAACUUCCCAGGCUGUGUGCCACAAGUACUUUGAACAUGGCACUUGAAGGUUCAUUGUAAUAGAUGGACUGAUGUCAGGAGACAGGCAUGGAUGUCAUCCGGUGAGCUUGAGUCUCGAUGAUGAAAGUUAAGAAGUUCUUCCCUGAAAAAUGUACAAACCCACCUAUCUACAAGAUCUUGCAUAGUUUCAGGCAAUUCCUGGAUCCUUAAAAACCAACCAUGGAUCCCUGCUCCCAGCGUCAGGAUGAUCCACUGGUCUAAACACCAGGCCUCAGCUCACCUCUGACAUGUAGGCUGCCCAGCCCUCCCGACAAAAUCGCUUCUCUGUGUUCACACGAUGCUUAGUGAGGAUAAUACUCCAUCAGGGUAGCUGUUUACAGAUCUGCCUCCCCUCCUGGACUAUGGGGACUCGCAAGUGGUCGUUACUCCCCCUUCCUAACCCAUAAAAUUAUACUUCCCUUUGAGGUUAGGCCUAACCAUGUGAUUUACAGUAGCCAAUAAAAUGUCGGUGAU
RNAcentral lists this long non-coding RNA (1050 nucleotides) under Canis lupus familiaris (dog). RNAcentral's name for it is "lncRNA (ENSCAFG00000059002.1, ENSCAFG00805002214.1, ENSCAFG00845004929.1)". Lineage: Eukaryota; Metazoa; Chordata; Mammalia; Carnivora; Canidae. The record is from RNAcentral.